RNAcentral lists this ribosomal RNA (521 nucleotides) under Hydrogenophaga sp. RNAcentral describes it as "bacterial SSU rRNA". It matches the Rfam family "Bacterial small subunit ribosomal RNA", at positions 8 to 526 of the family's 1533-position model. Lineage: Bacteria; Pseudomonadati; Pseudomonadota; Betaproteobacteria; Burkholderiales; Comamonadaceae. The record is from RNAcentral. RNAcentral also lists the same sequence under 1 other name.
AGAGUUUGAUCCUGGCUCAGAUUGAACGCUGGCGGCAUGCUUUACACAUGCAAGUCGAACGGUAACAGGCCGCAAGGUGCUGACGAGUGGCGAACGGGUGAGUAAUGUAUCGGAACGUGCCCAGUCGUGGGGGAUAACGCAGCGAAAGCUGCGCUAAUACCGCAUACGAUCUAUGGAUGAAAGCGGGGGACCGUAAGGCCUCGCGCGAUCGGAGCGGCCGAUAUCAGAUUAGGUAGUUGGUGGGGUAAAGGCUCACCAAGCCAACGGUCUGUAGCUGGUCUGAGAGGACGACCAGCCACACUGGGACUGAGACACGGCCCAGACUCCUACGGGAGGCAGCAGUGGGGAAUUUUGGACAAUGGGCGCGAGCCUGAUCCAGCAAUGCCGCGUGCAGGAAGAAGGCCUUCGGGUUGUAAACUGCUUUUGUACGGAACGAAACGGUCCUGGUUAAUACCCGGGGCUAAUGACGGUACCGUAAGAAUAAGCACCGGCUAACUACGUGCCAGCAGCCGCGGUAAUAC